RNA transcript from Macaca mulatta (Rhesus monkey), 686 nucleotides. It is a transcript of the gene named large ribosomal subunit protein uL14 pseudogene, with no coding region annotated. The record is from RefSeq and is a predicted model, not a curated record. Lineage: Eukaryota; Metazoa; Chordata; Mammalia; Primates; Cercopithecidae.
UGUUCAAGAUGUCAAAGCGAGGACGUGGUAGGUCCUCUGGUGUGAAAUUCCAGAUUUCCUUGGGUCUUCCAGUAGGAGCUGUGAUCAACUGUGCUGAUAACACAGGAGCCAAAAACCUGUAUAUCAUCUCUGUGAAGGCGAUCAAGGGAUGGCUGAACAGACUUUCCGCUGCUGGUGUCGGUGACAUGGUGAUGGCCACAGUCAAGAAAGGCAAACCAGAGCUCAGAAAAAUGGUACAUCCAGCAGCGGUCAUUCGACAAUGAAAGUCAUACCGGAGAAAAGAUGGAAAGUGUUUAUUUCAAAGAUAAUGCAGGGGUCAUAGUGAGUAAUAAAGGCGAAAUGAAAGGUUCUGCCAUUACAGGACCAGUAGCAAAGGAGAGUGCAGACUUGUGGCCCCUGAUUGUGCAUUGCGUGAUUCUCCAGUAUAUUAAAAAAAAAAAGAAAAAGAAAAAAAGAAAAAGAAAAACUUUAAAGCCGUUAAAAAAAAGCCAUUAAAAAGUAUUUGUCCCCCCACAAAAAAAAUACAUCUUAAUAACAGUUGAAGGUAAAGUACCACCAAGUUUAAUAAAGAUUAAUUAAUGCUGAGUUUUAUCAGCAUUUUUUAUGACUGUCACUGGAUUUCACUAUAUUUCUUAUCUUGGUAAAGUAUAUCUGAAAGUAGAAUAAAGGGGAAAUCCUAUCUGUGA